AGUGAACGCUGGCGGUAGGCCUAACACAUGCAAGUCGAACGGCAGCACAGUAAGAGCUUGCUCUUACGGGUGGCGAGUGGCGGACGGGUGAGGAAUACAUCGGAAUCUACUUUUUCGUGGGGGAUAACGUAGGGAAACUUACGCUAAUACCGCAUACGACCUACGGGUGAAAGCAGGGGAUCUUCGGACCUUGCGCGAUUGAAUGAGCCGAUGUCGGAUUAGCUAGUUGGCGGGGUAAAGGCCCACCAAGGCGACGAUCCGUAGCUGGUCUGAGAGGAUGAUCAGCCACACUGGAACUGAGACACGGUCCAGACUCCUACGGGAGGCAGCAGUGGGGAAUAUUGGACAAUGGGCGCAAGCCUGAUCCAGCCAUACCGCGUGGGUGAAGAAGGCAUUCGGGUUGUAAAGCCCUUUUGUUGGGAAAGAAAAGCAGAAGGUUAAUACCCCGCUGUUCUGACGGUACCCAAAGAAUAAGCACCGGCUAACUUCGUG
RNAcentral lists this ribosomal RNA (492 nucleotides) under uncultured bacterium. RNAcentral's name for it is "partial 16S ribosomal RNA". It matches the Rfam family "Bacterial small subunit ribosomal RNA", at positions 29 to 507 of the family's 1533-position model. The record is from RNAcentral.